RNAcentral lists this ribosomal RNA (497 nucleotides) under uncultured bacterium. Its description in RNAcentral is "partial 16S ribosomal RNA". It matches the Rfam family "Bacterial small subunit ribosomal RNA", at positions 28 to 507 of the family's 1533-position model. The record is from RNAcentral.
GAUGAACGCUGGCGGCGUGCCUAAUACAUGCAAGUCGAGCGGACGGACGAGAAGCUUGCUUUUCUGAUGUUAGCGGCGGACGGGUGAGUAACACGUGGAUAACCUCCCUAUAAGGCUGGGGUAACUUCGGGACACCGGAGCUAAUACCGGCUAAUAUUUUGAACCGCAUGGUUCAAAAGUGAAAGACGGUCUUGCUGUUACUUAUAGAUGGAUCCGCGCUGCAUUAGCUAGUUGGUAAGGUAACGGCUUACCAAGGCAACGAUGAAUAGCCGACCUGAGAGGGUGAUCGGCCACACUGGAACUGAGACACGGUCCAGACUCCUACGGGAGGCAGCAGUAGGGAAUCUUGCGCAAUGGGCGAAAGCCUGACGGAGCAACGCCGCGUGAGUGAUGAAGGUCUUCGGAUCGUAAAACUCUGUUAUUAGGGAAGAACAUAUUUGUAAGUAACUGUGCACAGCUUGACGGUACCUAAUCAGAAAGCCACGGCUAACUACGUG